This 321-nucleotide ribosomal RNA is filed under the name uncultured eukaryote. Its description in RNAcentral is "partial 18S ribosomal RNA". It matches the Rfam family "Eukaryotic small subunit ribosomal RNA", at positions 1470 to 1796 of the family's 1831-position model. The record is from RNAcentral.
CCCUUAGAUGUCCUGGGCCGUACGCGCGCUACACUGACAUGUUCAACAAGCCUCCUAGUUCGACAGGAUUUGGGAAAUCUUUGAACGCAUGUCGUGAUAGGGAUAGAUCAUUGCAAUUAUUGAUCUUGAACGAGGAAUUCCUAGUAAACGCGAGUCAUCAGCUCGCAUUGAUUACGUCCCUGCCCUUUGUACACACCGCCCGUCGCACCUACCGAUUGAAUGUUUCGGUGAAGAUUCCGGAUAGGACUUUUUUGAUUUAUUUCAAUUUUGUCUUAAAAGCUAUCUAAACCUCAACAUUUAGAGGAAGGUGAAGUCGUAACA